Molecule: non-coding RNA, 65 nt
Filed under: uncultured Olsenella sp.
Lineage: Bacteria; Bacillati; Actinomycetota; Coriobacteriia; Coriobacteriales; Atopobiaceae
Description: Cyclic di-GMP-I riboswitch
Rfam family: c-di-GMP-I riboswitch aptamer
About the family: GEMM was predicted in a large-scale screen for bacterial structured RNA regulatory elements. Genes associated with GEMM are involved in a diverse array of functions, including chemotaxis regulation, signal transduction, secretion and chitin.
Source: RNAcentral
CAAAAAGGCAAAGCCGCCGAAAGACGGUGACGCAAAGCUAUAGGGCCCUAACAGGCAGCCAGCUG